GGCUCAGAACGACCGCCGGCGGCGUGCCUAACACAUGCAAGUCGAACGGAGGCAGGGAGCUUGCUCCUUGCUUUAGUGGCGCACGGGUGAGUAAUGCGUAGAUAAUCUACCUGAGGGUCCGGGAUAACAUCUCGAAAGGGGUGCUAAUACCGGAUAAGCCCACGGAGUCUUCGGACUUUGCGGGAAAAGGGGGGGACCUUCGGGCCUUCUGUCCUCAGAUGAGUCUACGUACCAUUAGCUAGUUGGUGGGGUAAAGGCCUACCAAGGCGACGAUGGUUAGCUGGUCUGAGAGGAUGAUCAGCCACACUGGAACUGAGACACGGUCCAGACUCCUACGGGAGGCAGCAGUCGGGAAUUUUGCGCAAUGGGGGAAACCCUGACGCAGCAACGCCGCGUGAGUGAUGAAGGCCUUCGGGUCGUAAAGCUCUGUCAGAGGGAAAGAAAUGUACGAGGGUUAAUACCCCUUGUACUUGACGGUACCCUCAAAGGAAGCACCGGCUAACUCCGUGCCAGCAGCCGCGGUAAUACGGAGGGUGCGAGCGUUGUUCGGAUUUAUUGGGCGUAAAGCGCGUGUAGGCGGCUUCUUAAGUCUGAUGUGAAAGCCCUGGGCUCAACCCGGGAAGUGCAUUGGAAACUGGGAAACUUGAAUACGGGAGAGGGUAGUGGAAUUCCUGGUGUAGGAGUGAAAUCCGUAGAUAUCAGGAGGAACACCGGUGGCGAAGGCGGCUACCUGGACCGAUAUUGACGCUGAGACGCGAAAGCGUGGGGAGCAAACAGGAUUAGAUACCCUGGUAGUCCACGCCGUAAACGAUGAGUACUAGGUGUUGCGGGUAUUGACCCCUGCAGUGCCGCAGCUAACGCAUUAAGUACUCCGCCUGGGAAGUA
RNAcentral lists this ribosomal RNA (885 nucleotides) under uncultured bacterium. Its description in RNAcentral is "bacterial SSU rRNA". It matches the Rfam family "Bacterial small subunit ribosomal RNA", at positions 21 to 882 of the family's 1533-position model. The record is from RNAcentral.